CGCACAUUGCGCCCUUUGGUAUUCCAUAGGGCAUGCCUGUUCGAGCGUCAUUUGCACCCUCAAGCCUUGCUUGGUGUUGGGCGCUUGUCCCGCCGUCGCGCGCGGACUCGCCUGAAAUGAAUUGGCAGCCAGCCGCCUGGGCUCGGAGCGCAGCAGAAUCAGCGCAGCGAGACCCGGCGUCGCGGCGUCCACAAGCCCCUUUUUACCACGCUUGACCUCGGAUCAGGUAGGGAUACCCGCUGAACUUAA
Molecule: unclassified non-coding RNA, 249 nt
Filed under: Pleosporales sp.
Lineage: Eukaryota; Fungi; Ascomycota; Dothideomycetes; Pleosporales
Description: partial contains 5.8S ribosomal RNA, internal transcribed spacer 2, and large subunit ribosomal RNA
Source: RNAcentral